This 509-nucleotide ribosomal RNA is filed under the name Eucoryphus brunneri. RNAcentral's name for it is "partial 16S ribosomal RNA". The stretch from base 385 to 509 matches the Rfam family "Bacterial large subunit ribosomal RNA", at positions 2473 to 2597 of the family's 2925-position model. Lineage: Eukaryota; Metazoa; Arthropoda; Insecta; Diptera; Dolichopodidae. The record is from RNAcentral.
GUCUUUUUGAAAUAAAUUUAAAGUCUAAUCUGCCCACUGAUAUUAUUAAAUGGCCGCAGUAUUUUAACUGUGCAAAGGUAGCAUAAUCAUUAGUCUUUUAAUUGAGGGCUUGUAUGAAUGAUUGGACGAGAUAUAAACUGUCUUAAAUAAAAUAUUUUGAAUUUUAUUUUUUAGUUAAAAAGCUAAAAUAAAUUUAAAAGACGAGAAGACCCUAUAGAUCUUUAUAAAAAUUAUAUUUAUUUUUUUUAGUUAUAUUUUAAAUUAAUAUUUUUUUUUAUUAUAUUGGGGUGAUAUUGAAAUUUAAUUAACUUUCAAUAAUUUUAAACCAUUAAUUUAUGUAUAAUUGAUCCUUUAUUAGCGAUUAUAAAUUUAAGUUACCUUAGGGAUAACAGCGUAAUUAUUUUGGAGAGUUCUUAUCGAUAAAAUAGAUUGCGACCUCGAUGUUGGAUUAAGAUUAAUUUUGGGUGUAGCAGUUCAAAAAAUUAAGUCUGUUCGACUUUUAAUUUCUU